This 63-nucleotide transfer RNA is filed under the name Schultesia lampyridiformis. RNAcentral describes it as "tRNA-Asp". The record is from RNAcentral. Lineage: Eukaryota; Metazoa; Arthropoda; Insecta; Blattodea; Blaberidae.
GAAAAAUUAGUUAAAUUAUAACAUUAGUUUGUCAAACUAAAAUUAUCUCAAAAAUAUUUUUCU